This is a non-coding RNA of Cordylochernes scorpioides, 73 nucleotides long. The record is from the annotation of a GenBank genome assembly. NCBI's taxonomy places the organism in Eukaryota, Metazoa, Arthropoda, Arachnida, Pseudoscorpiones, Chernetidae.
AACCAGGGAUGGGAAUCGAAUCCACAGUGUUCCGCUUACCGGGCAGAUGCCAUGUCCACUAGGCUACCCUGGA